Cavia porcellus (domestic guinea pig) is the source of this 93-nucleotide unclassified non-coding RNA. NCBI's taxonomy places the organism in Eukaryota, Metazoa, Chordata, Mammalia, Rodentia, Caviidae. The record is from Ensembl.
AGGGAGUAUAGCAUGGAUGUGAGAGAACGGAGUCACCUCUGGGCCUAUGAGAGAUUCCGAUUUAGAUCUCUCCAACCUUGGAUCUCUUGACCU